Mycena polygramma is the source of this 91-nucleotide non-coding RNA. The record is from the annotation of a GenBank genome assembly. Lineage: Eukaryota; Fungi; Basidiomycota; Agaricomycetes; Agaricales; Mycenaceae.
UCGGGUGUGGUGUACGGCGCACCGCUGCUACCCAUAAGCGUAAUGAAUAGGGUGUUUGCAGGUGGACGGGGUUCGAUUCCCCGCAUCCGAA